AGCCAGGUAACUGGUGGAGGUGACCGGUACUAAUAGGCCGAGGGCUUGUCCUCAGUUGCUCGCGUCCACUGUGUUAGUUCUGAGGCAACGACCGUGUCAUGUUUCCGGUCAGAGUUUCAUAGUGUUUCGGUGGUUAUAGCGUGAGGGAAACGCCCGGUUACAUUCCGAACCCGGAAGCUAAGCCUUACAGCGCCGAUGGUACUGCAGGGGGGACCCUGUGGGAGAGUAGGACGCCGCCGAAC
This 242-nucleotide ribosomal RNA is filed under the name Streptomyces sp. VMFN-G11Ma. Lineage: Bacteria; Bacillati; Actinomycetota; Actinomycetes; Kitasatosporales; Streptomycetaceae. The record is from RNAcentral.